Molecule: ribosomal RNA, 406 nt
Filed under: Pseudoalteromonas phenolica
Lineage: Bacteria; Pseudomonadati; Pseudomonadota; Gammaproteobacteria; Alteromonadales; Pseudoalteromonadaceae
Description: bacterial SSU rRNA
Rfam family: Bacterial small subunit ribosomal RNA
Source: RNAcentral
CCGCGGUAAUACGGAGGGUGCAAGCGUUAUCCGGAAUCAUUGGGUUUAAAGGGUCCGCAGGCGGUCAAUUAAGUCAGAGGUGAAAUCCUAUAGCUUAACUAUAGAACUGCCUUUGAUACUGGUUGACUUGAGUUAUACGGAAGUAGAUAGAAUAUGUAGUGUAGCGGUGAAAUGCAUAGAUAUUACAUAGAAUACCGAUUGCGAAGGCAGUCUACUACGUAUAUACUGACGCUCAUGGACGAAAGCGUGGGGAGCGAACAGGAUUAGAUACCCUGGUAGUCCACGCCGUAAACGAUGGACACUAGUUGUUGGAAUUAUUCAGUGUCUAAGCGAAAGUGAUAAGUGUCCCACCUGGGGAGUACGAUCGCAAGAUUGAAACUCAAAGGAAUUGACGGGGGCCCGCACA